GAUGAACGCUGGCGGCGUGCCUAAUACAUGCAAGUCGAGCGAACGGACGAGAAGCUUGCUUUUCUGAUGUUAGCGGCGGACGGGUGAGUAACACGUGGAUAACCUACCUAUAAGACUGGGAUAACUUCGGGAAACCGGAGCUAAUACCGGAUAAUAUUUUGAACCGCAUGGUUCAAAAGUGAAAGACGGUCUUGCUGUCACUUAUAGAUGGAUCCGCGCUGCAUUAGCUAGUUGGUAAGGUAACGGCUUACCAAGGCAACGAUGCAUAGCCGACCUGAGAGGGUGAUCAGCCACACUGGAACUGAGACACGGUCCAGACUACUACGGGAGGCAGCAGUAGGGAAUCUUCCGCAAUGGGCGAAAGCCUGACGGAGCAACGCCGCGUGAGUGAUGAAGGUCUUCGGAUCGUAAAACUCUGUUAUUAGGGAAGAACAUAUGUGUAAGUAACUUUGCACAUCUUGACGGUACCUAAUCAGAAAGCCACGGCUAACUACGUG
This 497-nucleotide ribosomal RNA is filed under the name uncultured bacterium. RNAcentral describes it as "partial 16S ribosomal RNA". It matches the Rfam family "Bacterial small subunit ribosomal RNA", at positions 28 to 507 of the family's 1533-position model. The record is from RNAcentral.